GCUUCUGUGGGCUGUAGGUCAGG
Molecule: microRNA, 23 nt
Filed under: Alligator mississippiensis (American alligator)
Lineage: Eukaryota; Metazoa; Chordata; Crocodylia; Alligatoridae
Description: Ami-Mir-1677-o5_3p (mature (co-guide))
Source: RNAcentral